GGAGGGUAUAGCUCAGUGGUAGAGUGCAUGCUUAACAUGCAUAAGGUCCUGGGUUCAAACCCCAGUACCUCCA
This 73-nucleotide transfer RNA is filed under the name Vicugna pacos (alpaca). Its description in RNAcentral is "tRNA-Val (AAC) (tRNA-Val-AAC-25-1)". It matches the Rfam family "tRNA". Rfam says of the family: Transfer RNA (tRNA) molecules are approximately 80 nucleotides in length. Their secondary structure includes four short double-helical elements and three loops (D, anti-codon, and T loops). Further hydrogen bonds mediate the characteristic L-shaped molecular structure. tRNAs have two regions of fundamental functional importance: the anti-codon, which is responsible for specific mRNA codon recognition, and the 3' end, to which the tRNAs corresponding amino acid is attached (by aminoacyl-tRNA synthetases). tRNAs cope with the degeneracy of the genetic code in two manners: having more than one tRNA (with a specific anti-codon) for a particular amino acid; and 'wobble' base-pairing, i.e. permitting non-standard base-pairing at the 3rd anti-codon position. Lineage: Eukaryota; Metazoa; Chordata; Mammalia; Artiodactyla; Camelidae. The record is from RNAcentral.